UGUAGUCAGUCCGGUUUUUGAGGUAUAAUUAUGGCAAGGAGAGUGUGGUGCCCUUAACACACCCUCAAGCCUGGUGAGGAGGAUCUGAUGGCUCACUGUGUCAAAAGCGGCACUCAGGUCAAGAAGAAUCAGAAUGUUGAGGGCACCAGCAUCAGCAGAGGUCAGGAGGUAAUCAACAACUUUGAGGAGUUCAGUUUCAGUACUGUGGAGUGGGCGGUAAACCAGACUGGAGGGGCUCUAACAGAAUUACCCUGACAAAAUUGGCGAUGAGGAUGGGAUGGCUAACUGCGCUUGCUGAUUGCUCCCGAGGAGACCAAGAUUACCUACGCACAGGGCUGCGUUAGAUGUGACUCGGGAGCCCACACUCUGACUAAAACGGAGCAGAAAUGGACACGCCUCGAACUGACUGUCACGACCUGGCCAUAGAGAGGCUUUUUAUUCUCUAUUUUGGUUAGGCCAGGGUGUGACUAGGGUGGGCAUUCUAGGUCCUUUUUUCUAAGUUUAGUAUUUCUAUGUCUUGGCCUGGUAUGGUUCUCAAUCGGGGACAGCUGUCUAUCGUUGUCUCUGAUUGAGAACCAUACUUAGGUACCCUUUUCCCCCACCUGUUUUGUGGGAAGUGAACUCUGUAGUUGUUCAGGGCACAUAGCCCAAAGCUUCAAAGUUGGGUUUUUGUUCUUCGUUUUGUUCGGCGUCAUUUUUAUAUAAAGUACAAAUGUACGCUUA
Molecule: long non-coding RNA, 723 nt
Organism: Oncorhynchus gorbuscha (pink salmon)
Lineage: Eukaryota; Metazoa; Chordata; Actinopteri; Salmoniformes; Salmonidae
Exons: 2
Source: RefSeq, a predicted model, not a curated record